RNAcentral lists this ribosomal RNA (322 nucleotides) under Petrosia ficiformis. RNAcentral's name for it is "bacterial SSU rRNA". It matches the Rfam family "Eukaryotic small subunit ribosomal RNA", at positions 1160 to 1434 of the family's 1831-position model. Lineage: Eukaryota; Metazoa; Porifera; Demospongiae; Haplosclerida; Petrosiidae. The record is from RNAcentral.
AAGGGCACCACCAGGAGUGGAGCCUGCGGCUUAAUUUGACUCAACACGGGGAACCUCACCAGGUCAGGACAUGGGAAGGAUUGACAGAUCGAGAGCUCUUUCUUGAUUCUAUGGGUGGUGGUGCAUGGCCGUUCUUAGUUGGUGGAGUGAUUUGUCUGGUUGAUUCCGUUAACGAACGAGACCUUAACCUGCUAACUAGUCGUGCCGUUUCUGAACGGCGAGGGUUGUUGGUCGGUGCGACGUCUGUUGCAUCAGUUGGUGCCUUCACACUCUCCUCUCCGGUGGCGACUUCUUAGAGGGACACUCGGCAUCUGUUUCUAGC